This is a long non-coding RNA of Rhineura floridana, 2040 nucleotides long. RefSeq lists it as uncharacterized. The record is from RefSeq and is a predicted model, not a curated record. The transcript is spliced from 3 exons. NCBI's taxonomy places the organism in Eukaryota, Metazoa, Chordata, Lepidosauria, Squamata, Rhineuridae.
AUGAAUAGGGGGAGGGUCCCCUGAAAUGGGGGCGUGAAGAAAAAGCGAUACGGCACGCACACACGCCCAGGAGAGGGAGGGAAGAGCCCAGCACUCCCUCCUCUCUCGUGAUUUGCUGAUCCCACCCGCCGCCGUGCGCGCACACCGAUCCCUCGUUGAGGCAGGGUGCUCGGGCCUUGGGCCGCUUGCGCUUUCCGGCGGUGGGAUCGGCCUGCUGCCCUUCCUCGCCCUUCUCUCUCUUUCUCCCCCCCCACUUCACUGAUAUUGGCCAAUUACAUAUUUGGAGCGGAAAUGGCCUCUUUCACUCCCCUGGAAGGGAAGCCCGAGGGCUCCUCGUCCCCUUCUUGGCGGCUUCGAAUGGCGCGGGUAGGUCAGGCUUGAUCCCGGGCUGGUGCAUCGGAGCGUCUCCGGGCAGGAGGCGAAGGACUGCCGUCCCCUCCCCUCUUCCUCAUCCACCCCCCCUCCCUUGCGGGAGAGAGAUUUCACGGCUGGCCGAGGACAAUGGCCGAGUGACCAGUGCGAACUCGGGAGGCAAAUCGCCCCUCCAUUUCCGGUCCUCAGUUCAAACUGGACAAUGCCAGCCAGCUCUUCCCCUGGAGCAAAGCGGAGCCCUUUCAACGGGCAGCCACUUCGUCUUCGAAAAGCCCGACGCCCGAAGAAGCACACGCCCACACGCGUGGAAGGACCUUUCCACUCACCCUUUCCUCUCCUCUGCACCCCUCUCUCUUGAGCAUCUUUCUGGACUCCGGGGCAGAUUUAAUCCAAUGGCCAGAAAGGACCUCCAGGGUGGAAAAAGUAAAAUCCGUAUUUAGCCACGUGUAUGGGUCCCUUCACACGUUACGCCUCAAAGCAUAGGCCUCUCCAGUGGUUGGUUGGUUUUCUUGUUUUAUCCGCGCCCCCAUGACCGUCGAUGCUAUUUGCAAAGUCGUGUAAGCCUAAGGGAUCGAGGACUGGAUGCACACACACACUCAGACCACAGAGUUCCUGCGAGGCCAAAAUGGCUCGUGUUGACACACGAGGACAGAGCAGGGCUCCCCCAAGGAGAGGGCAACAGGGAGCUCAGCGUCGCCACCCAAUCAUCAACUGCCCAGACAAAGCCAGGUGUUUUCAUAACAGCAAGUCCAUGGCCGCGAUGAUAAAGAGGUACAGGCCUCUGAAAAACCUAUCGAGUUGACUAGGAUAAAUAGAUGUAACUUUUUAUAUAGAAGGGUUGCUCAGGAAAAAAAGGGAAGUCGAACAGGAUGUGGCAAGCAGUUCCGUUCUUCAGGUUAUACUGUUACUGGUCGAAUCCUGUUUUCUCUAUAUGCCUACUUUUGAAAUCAGGGUUUAGUUUUGGAGCAGACAACGGCACAAGGACCUCUAUCUCUCCCCUUUGAGGCAUGGGAAUCGUUAACAUGCCACGUACUGUUAGAAGCUCGCUUUCUCUUACUCAUUAAGAAAACACACGCAUGCACACACACCCCUUUACCUCCCCCACAAAUACCCAUUCAGAAUUCUGAAUGGGUGGUGGUGGUUGUUUUUAAUCAGCAAUGGCUUCACCAGGAAAUCGGGAUUAUUGUUCACAGCUUAAAAGAGGUGAUUUUAAGAGCUUUUGAACAGUGCUUUUGCUAACACAAAACAAAACACCUCCGUGGUGCAACUGAUGCAGUGCAAUGGAGGAAUUGGAUGUGCAGGAUCAAAACUUCAGAAUAUUACCCCCUUUUUAAAGGAGCUUGGGCAACACAGAAGGAAGAGAAAGGUUGUAUUAAAGAACUGCACGAAGCCGCACGCUCUGUCCGAGGUGCUGAUCUCUUCCGCUCAGUGAUGCUCUAGAGCUCUCCAGGGUGCUGAAAGACACCGCCGUUACACAUUGUCCAGGAUUUUGAGCGGGAAAUAAACAGAAGUUAAACUGAAGCACAACCAUAUCUGGAAACAAGAAGAGAUCAGAAUCAUGGCUGUAGAUUCAUGACAUGUAGGCCGGUAUGUGCUUCUUUGUACAAUUGCUGAAAUGUAUCAUAAUAGUAUUGCAAUAUGCAAAACAGCAUCGCAAAACUGUUUUAA